This 1000-nucleotide ribosomal RNA is filed under the name Bombyx mori (domestic silkworm). RNAcentral describes it as "SSU rRNA". It matches the Rfam family "Eukaryotic small subunit ribosomal RNA", at positions 1 to 933 of the family's 1831-position model. The record is from RNAcentral. Lineage: Eukaryota; Metazoa; Arthropoda; Insecta; Lepidoptera; Bombycidae.
CCCUGGUUGAUCCUGCCAGUAGUUAUAUGCUUGUCUCAAAGAUUAAGCCAUGCAUGUCUCAGUGCAAGCCGUAUUAAGGCGAUACCGCGAAUGGCUCAAUAUAUCAGUUUUGGUUCCUUAGAUCUUACUCAGUUACUUGGAUAACUGUGGUAAUUCUAGAGCUAAUACAUGCAAUCAGAACUCUGACCAGUGAUGGGAUGAGUGCUUUUAUUAGAUCAAAACCAAUCGACGGAGGGCCUCGCGUCCGAAGUCGUUAAUUUUGAUGAAUCUGGAUAACUUUUGCAGAUCGCAUGGUCAAGUACCGGCGACGCAUCUUUCAAAUGUCUGCCUUAUCAACUUUCGAUGGUAGUUUCUGCGACUACCAUGGUUGUCACGGGUAACGGGGAAUCAGGGUUCGAUUCCGGAGAGGGAGCCUGAGAAACGGCUACCACAUCCAAGGAAGGCAGCAGGCGCGCAAAUUACCCACUCCCGGCACGGGGAGGUAGUGACGAAAAAUAACGAUACGGGACUCUUACGAGGCCUCGUAAUCGGAAUGAGUACACUUUAAAUAUUUUAACGAGGAACAAUUGGAGGGCAAGUCUGGUGCCAGCAGCCGCGGUAAUUCCAGCUCCAAUAGCGUAUACUAAAAUUGUUGCGGUUAAAAAGCUCGUAGUUGCAUUUGUGCGCCGCGCUGUCGGUGCACCGCAUCCGCGGUGAUACUGACACGUUUGCGGAGCAUAUCGUCGGUGAGCCGGCGUUCUAAAAAACGCCGGUUCAAUAUCAAAAUCCUAUCGCGGUGCUCUUCGGUGAGUGUCGAGGUGGGCCGACAAUUUUACUUUGAACAAAUUAGAGUGCUCAAAGCGGGCUAAAAAUGCUGCUUGAAUAUUUCGUGCAUGGAAUAAUAGAAUAUGAUCUCGGUUCUAUUUUGUUGGUUUNCANAACUCCGAGGUAAUGAUUAAUAGGGAUAACUGGGGGGCAUUCGUAUUGCGACGUUAGAGGUGAAAUUCUUGGAUCGUCNCAG